Molecule: ribosomal RNA, 468 nt
Filed under: uncultured bacterium
Lineage: Bacteria
Description: partial 16S ribosomal RNA
Rfam family: Bacterial small subunit ribosomal RNA
Source: RNAcentral
GACGAACGCUGGCGGCGUGCUUAACACAUGCAAGUCGAACGGAAAGGCCCUGCUUUUGUGGGGUGCUCGAGUGGCGAACGGGUGAGUAACACGUGAGUAACCUGCCCUUGACUUUGGGAUAACUUCAGGAAACUGGGUCUAAUACCGGAUAGGAGCUCCUGCUGCAUGGUGGGGGUUGGAAAGUUUCGGCGGUUGGGGAUGGACUCGCGGCUUAUCAGCUUGUUGGUGGGGUAGUGGCUUACCAAGGCUUUGACGGGUAGCCGGCCUGAGAGGGUGACCGACCACAUUGGGACUGAGAUACGGCCCAGACUCCUACGGGAGGCAGCAGUGGGGAAUAUUGCACAAUGGGCGGAAGCCUGAUGCAGCAACGCCGCGUGCGGGAUGACGGCCUUCGGGUUGUAAACCGCUUUCGCCUGUGACGAAGCGUGAGUGACGGUAAUGGGUAAAGAAGCACCGGCUAACUACGUG